UUUUCUUGUCCUGAGUGCCGCUUACUAACCCAUCAAAGCGCAGCUGGGCCAGGUCUCCCACUUUCAGAAGACUUCUCCUGGGACCCUGCGUUCGGAACCUUCCCGCUGCCGCAGAGCUGAUUAUUCCGUGUAGUGCAUUGUCUUACCAGAUUCCCAGCGCUUCACCGAGAAGAGAAUCAGGAAGUUUGUUUAAGUGAAGGCCCCAGCUCAAAUGCCACCUCUUCCAUGCAGACGUCUUUGAACAUAAUGACAGUGUGUGUCUGGGGCGAUCGCUUCUAUAAUAAACAGCGCUGAGUCAUCCUGCA
Molecule: long non-coding RNA, 305 nt
Organism: Oryctolagus cuniculus (rabbit)
Lineage: Eukaryota; Metazoa; Chordata; Mammalia; Lagomorpha; Leporidae
Source: RefSeq, a predicted model, not a curated record